GAGUUUGAUCAUGGCUCAGGAUGAACGCUAGCUACAGGCUUAACACAUGCAAGUCGAGGGGCAGCGGGUUGAAAGCUUGCUUUCAAUGCCGGCGACCGGCGCACGGGUGCGUAACGCGUAUCAAACCUGCCUCAUACUCGGGGAUAGCCUUGCGAAAGUAAGAUUAAUACCCGAUGUUGUUGCUUUCUCGCAUGGGAGAGUAACCAAAGAUUUAUCGGUAUGAGAAGCCUGCGUUGGAUUAGGUAGUUGGUAGGGUAAUGGCCUACCAAGCCGACGAUCCAUAGCUGGUCUGAGAGGAUGAUCAGCCAGACUGGAACUGAGACACGGUCCAGACUCCUACGGGAGGCAGCAGUGAGGAAUCUUCCACAAUGGGCGAAAGCCUGAUGGAGCAACGCCGCGUGAAGGAUGAAGGCCUUCGGGUUGUAAACUUCUUUUAUGAGUGAAGAAUAUGACGGUAACUCAUGAAUAAGCACCGGCUAACUACGUGCCAGCAGCCGCGGUCAUACGUAGGGUGCAAGCAUUAUCCGGAGUGACUGGGCGUAAAGAGCUGCGUAGGCGGUUUAAUAAGUGAAUAGUGAAACCUGGUGGCUCAACCAUACAGACUAUUAUUCAAACUGUUAAACUCGAGAAUGGUAGAGGUAACUGGAAUUUCUAGUGUAGGAGUGAAAUCCGUAGAUAUUAGAAGGAACACCGAUGGCGUAGGCAGGUUACUGGGCCAUUUCUGACGCUAAGGCACGAAAGCGUGGGGAGCGAACCGGAUUAGAUACCCGGGUAGUCCACGCCGUAAACGAUGGAUACUAGCUGUUGGAGGUAUCGACCCCUUCAGUAGCGAAGCUAACGCGUUAAGUAUCCCGCCUGUGGAGUACGGCCGCAAGGCUAAAACAUAAAGGAAUUGACGGGGACCCGCACAAGCGGUGGAUUAUGUUCUUUAAUUCGAUGAUAACCGAAGAACCUUACCAGGGCUUGACAUCCAGGGAAGGUCUGCGAAAGUAGACUGUGCCUUCGGGAACUCUGAGACAGGUGCUGCAUGGCUGUCGUCAGCUCGUGUUGUGAAAUGUUGGGUUAAGUCCCGCAACGAGCGCAACCCUUAUCCUUUGUUGCCAGCGAUUUGGUCGGGAACUCAAAGGAGACUGCCGGUGAUAAACCGGAGGAAGGUGGGGAUGACGUCAAGUCAUCAUGGCCCUUACGAGUAGGGCUACACACGUGCUACAAUGGCGUAUACAGAGGGAAGCGAGAGUGCGAGCUGGAGCGAAUCUCACAAAGUACGUCUAAGUCCGGAUUGGAGUCUGCAACUCGACUCCAUGAAGUCGGAAUCGCUAGUAAUCGCAAAUCAGAAUGUUGCGGUGAAUACGUUCCCGGGCCUUGUACACACCGCCCGUC
This 1380-nucleotide ribosomal RNA is filed under the name uncultured bacterium. RNAcentral describes it as "partial 16S ribosomal RNA". It matches the Rfam family "Bacterial small subunit ribosomal RNA". The record is from RNAcentral.